AGUGGGAGUGCUGGAUCAUAUGGUGGUUCUAUUUUUAAUUUUCUGAGGAACCUCCAUACUCUUUUCCAUAAUUGCUCUACCAAUUUACAUUCUCACAAACAAU
RNAcentral lists this microRNA precursor (103 nucleotides) under Marmota monax (woodchuck). The record is from RNAcentral. Lineage: Eukaryota; Metazoa; Chordata; Mammalia; Rodentia; Sciuridae.